AGAAUCAACGCUGGCGGCGUGCCUCAGACAUGCAAGUCGAACGAUUAAAGCUCUCUUCGGAGAGUGCAUAGAGUGGCGCACGGGUGAGUAACACGUAAGUAAUCUACCUUUGAGUGGGGAAUAACGUUCGGAAACGGACGCUAAUACCGCAUAAUGCAGCGGCAUCGCAAGAUGACAGUUGUUAAAGGAGCAAUCCGCUUAAAGAGGAGCUUGCGGCAGAUUAGCUUGUUGGUAAGGUAACGGCUUACCAAGGCUACGAUCUGUAUCCGGUCUAAGAGGACGGUCGGACACACUGACACUGAAUAACGGGUCAGACUCCUACGGGAGGCAGCAGUCGGGAAUUUGGGCAAGUGGGGGAAACCUGACCCAGCAACGCCGCGUGGAAGGAUAGAAGUAUUUCGGUAUAGUAAAACUUACGAAAAGAAUAAGGAAAGAAAUAAAUAGAACGGUAACUAAUUUAAUAAGACUACCGGACUAACGUACGUAGCCAGCACGCCGAC
This 500-nucleotide ribosomal RNA is filed under the name uncultured soil bacterium. RNAcentral describes it as "bacterial SSU rRNA". It matches the Rfam family "Bacterial small subunit ribosomal RNA", at positions 26 to 522 of the family's 1533-position model. The record is from RNAcentral.